RNAcentral lists this long non-coding RNA (2166 nucleotides) under Homo sapiens (human). RNAcentral describes it as "HSALNT0297242". The record is from RNAcentral. Lineage: Eukaryota; Metazoa; Chordata; Mammalia; Primates; Hominidae.
AAAUCAUGCAGAAGACAACAGUUUUGUGAUGUGGCAAUUUGGCCCAGCUGAACUUUUUUUUUUUUUUUUCCCCCAGAAUUCCUUCCCUGCCUGUUUCUAUUUAGGGAGGGUGGUUGUGAAGUAGCAGCCAUUUUGUUUUUAUGCUCAAAAUGUUGGGCAGGAUACUUUUGUAGCUCACAUAUGUUGUUGCUUCUCUGCUGGCUCAUUUGAUGGCUAUGGGGCAGCAGCUCAGCCUGCCACCACCUCUAGAUGUUUCUUCAGCUUCUCCAACUCCAAGGCUGGCAUUCUCUCUCUUGCUGCCCUGUGAAGAGGUGCCUUCUGCCAUAAUUGUAAGUUUCAUGAGGCUUCCCCAGCCGUGCAGAACUUUACAGAGCUUUCACUCUAGCAUCUGAAAAAGGAACCAACUCCUGCUAAAUCUUGAGAAUUGACACAUUGAAGCCUUAUCUUCAGACUCUGAAAAAGGCUGGAAGCUUAUCAUGGGCCUGGAUCUUGUGCUAUUCAAAUGUUUUCACCGAUGCCUACAACUGUAUUUGGCACAUAGAAGAUGCAAACAAUAAACCUCAGAACAUCUCAAACCCAAGGAGUCUGGAUUUUCCUGACAUCAAUGUAUCCUUUUGAGUAUAUUAUCGUAUCUCUUAACAUUUCUGUUUCAUCCUUGACCUGAGACUUUUUUUUUUUUUUUUAAUCUUGAGAUAAUUCUUGGCUUUGUCAAGGCUACUGGUGACAAAAGCAUUAGCAAGCAGGUGCAGAGUGCUUUUUCCACCAAAGAAGAGACAUUGUACUCUUUUUGGGGUUAUAUUAAUGACUAAAUCUGAGAAAUUAGAAAUGCAUUUGCUGAAUUGAAGAACCCAUUAGAGACUCUCAACAGGAGAAUGGGUCUUGCUGAGGAGUCAGUGACCUCUCAGGCCAGCUAUUUGAAAAUACAAAGUCAGAGGAAAAAAACGAAAAAAAGAAUGAAAAUGAAUUAAGACUGCCUACGAGAUACAGAAAAUUACCUCAAAAGACUAAAUCUGAGUUAUCAGUGCUCAAAAGGGAAUCAAACAAGAGCAAGUGGUAGAAAGUUUUUUCAAGGAAAGAAUAACAGAAAACUUACCAACUCUUGAGAUAGAUAUACAUAUCUAGGUACAGGAAGAUCUGAGAGCACCAAGCAGAUUCAACUCAAAUAAGAAUACCAUAAGACACUGAAUAAUCAGACUGUCAAAGGUCAAGGACAAAGAGAGAAUACUAAAGGCAGCAAGAGAAGAAAAGCAAAUAACAUAUAAAGGAAUUCCAAUCCAUCUGGCAGCAGAUUUCACAAUGGAAAUCUUAUAGGCCAGCGGGGAGUGGAACAUGUUCAAAAGCUCAAAGAAGAAAACUGAUAUGAAAGAAUAUUGCAUUCAGCAAAAUUAUCCUUCAGAUAUGAAGGAGAAAUAAAGUUUUUCCAAGACAAUCAAAAACUGAGAAAAUUUACCAUCGCCAGACCCAUUGCAAGAAAUACUAAAGGGAGUUCUUCAAUCUGAAAGAACUGAAAAAAAAAAAAAAACUAAUAUGCAAAAAGAAAAUUUUGCAAUGUAUAAAACACAAUGGGUGCAGAAAAAGAGGAGCCAGAGAUACAGGAAAGAAGGCCAGAGAUACAGGAAUGAAGACGGAACCAAAAUUGGAGUUUUGCUGCCACAAACAAAGGAAUACCAGGAGGCACUAGAUGCUGGAAGAGAAAAGAAACCAUUGUCACCCUGGAGUGUGAGCCUGCUCAUACCUUAAUUUUAGACAUCUGGUAUCUAGAGCUAUGAGAAGGAAUUUCUGUUAUUUUAAGCCAUUGACUUUGAGGCCAUUUCUUGUGGCAGCUAUAGGAAACUAACACACCAGGUUAGAAUCAACGUGGUAGUUUCUCAGUAUCCACAGGUGGUUGGUUCUAGGACCCCCGCCAAUACCAAAAUCUGAGGAUGCUCAAAACUCUAUUUAUAUAAUAUGGCAUAGUAUUUGCAUAUAACCUACACACAUCUUCUCAUAUGCUUUAAAUCACCUCUAGAUUAUCUACAAUAUGUAAUACUAUCUAAAUUGUUGUUAUACCAUAUUGUUUUUAUUCAUAUUAUUUUUUAUAGUUGUACUGUUAUUUCUUUUGUUUUGGAAUAUUUUUAUACACGGUUGAAUGUGCAGAUACAAAGGGUCAUCUGUAUUAUUCUAAAA